RNAcentral lists this ribosomal RNA (232 nucleotides) under uncultured bacterium. RNAcentral describes it as "partial 16S ribosomal RNA". It matches the Rfam family "Bacterial small subunit ribosomal RNA", at positions 99 to 334 of the family's 1533-position model. The record is from RNAcentral.
CGGACGGGUGAGUAAUGUCUGGGAAACUGCCUGAUGGGGGGGGAUAACUACUGGAAACGGUAGCUAAUACCGCAUAACGUCGCAAGACCAAAGAGGGGGACCUUAGGGCCUCUUGCCAUCGGAUGUGCCCAGAUGGGAUUAGCUAGUAGGUGGGGUAACGGCUCACCUAGGCGACGAUCCCUAGCUGGUCUGAGAGGAUGACCAGCCACACUGGAACUGAGACACGGCCCAG